AUGCAGAUUAAGCAGCCCGGCCUGGCUCACCCAGCCCGCGAGGGGCUCUGGGCAGGUCGGGGAACCCGAGACUCUGACCUCAGCGCCAGCUCCAAGGUGCACCGGGUCGGCACGCGCGGGGAAGCCGACCGCGGCGCCGGGCCCACGGAUGCCCCACGGAUGCCCCACGGAUGCCCCGCGGAUGCCCCGCGGAUGCCCCGCGGCCGCGUGGGUCCCUCCCGUCAGGCGGGCUGGGCUGGCCGGCGUCCCCCAGGGCUCGCGCGCGUCCUUCAAGACUCGCCAGCACGCAGGGGAAGGCAGGCUCGGAAUCCCGCGGGGCUGAUGGCGCAAGGCCUCGGGAUGCUAGCGGGACGGGGGGGCUUGCGGCGGUGCGAGCCCCGACGGCCGGCGGUCGGACAGACAGAGCCCCCCGCGGGCCGGGGCGCCGCGGUGCAGGGCGCGGGCGGGGGCGGGGGCGCGGGCGCGGGCGCGGGCAGGCCGGCUUCCCCGCAGCGUGUCUCCGGGCGUCACCUGACAGCGCGCACCGACUUCUCCCGGCGCGGAGGGGGCGGCGGCGGCGGCGGCGGCGGCCUGGGCCGGGGGAGCGCAGCGCGCGGCUGUCGCCCAGGGGCGAGGUCCGUAAACAAAAGCGGGUCCCCCCGGCCGGGGCGGCGAACCGCGCGGCGGGCAGCAUCGCGGCGGCGGAGCCCGCGGGACAGCGCGGCGCGGCCGGGGUCGGGGUCGGGCCCCGGGGACCCCGCGGACCCCGCGGACCCCGCGCCCGGGCCAGUCAUUGUCUGCGCGCGCGCCGAGGCCGCCAGAGACGCCGCCUCCCGGGCGGGCAGCGGGUCCCCGGCCCCGAGCGGCGGCUCCCGCCCCGAUCGCCAAGGUGAGCGCCCGCGGCGUCGCCGGAAAGCCGGGCCUGGAGCUGCCCAAGUCGGGCGCCGCGGCACACGCACACGCACACGCACACGCACACGCGCGCACACACACACACGCGCGCACGCCCUCCCCGAAGUUGAUAAAAUCAGCCGACAAACACAAAGUGCCGCCGCCGCCGCCGCCGCCGCCGCGGAGCCCGAACGCCGCCGCCCGGGCGCUGUCACUUUCGCCGGGCGCCGGGCACCUGGGCGCCGCUGGCCCGCCCGCCCCCCGCGGCUCCCCGUCGCCUCCAGCCUCCAGCCUCCGGCCUCGGCUCGCCCGCUCCUCACCUCCCGCGGGUGUGAGCGCGGGAACAAUACGGGGAGAGCGCGGCCGGGGGAGCUAGGACCCGCCGGGAGGCCCAGGGUGCGGGGCCGGGGCUCGGGACGUGCCCGCCACGGGCACGCGGCGGCUCGGGGCAUCCUCGCCGCGGCCCCCGGGGCGGCUCCGCGCCGCCCGCCCGCCGUACUCACCCGCGACGCUCGUCCCGGACCUCCCGCGACGGGCCCGGGGACAAUGCGGGGACGCGGGGCUCCGGGGGCUGCGGGCGCUGCAGAGCUGCGCGCCCGACGGCGGCGGCGCUGCUCGGCCCGGCCGCGCUCCGGCCCGCUCGCCGUCUGCCAAUGGGAGCUGUCAGGGCGCCUCCGCCGGCGGCCCGGGGGGCGGGGCCACGGCCGCCCGUGGGAAACCGAGCUCCGAUUGGGCCGCCCGACAAUCGCUCCGCCUCCAGGCGGCCAAUCAGAGGCGGCGGAUGCGGGAGCGGGGCGUUCGGACUGGGGCCGGAGUGACAACAGCAGCACGCUGGGUACCCGCGCGGCAUCCCGGCCCCGGCCGCCCGGCUGCGAGGAUGCGGGCGCCGCGCGCUCCGGCGCUGCCACCCGGCGGGGCUCCGGCGGCGCGGCCGGGCGGGGAGCGGGGGAAGGCGGCGGAGGCGCGGCGGGCUGGGGGGCGGCGAGGGAGCCCCUAACAAAGCGGCUUCGAGAGGGCCGAGCGGCCUCCGCCUCCCCCGGCUAUAGGUCGGCCGAGCUGCCCGUCACUCCGCAUAGGUGGAGGUGGCCAAUGACGUACGGAGAAGGAGCUCGGGUUGGCGCGCGCGCGCGGCUCGGCGUCAGUGGGAUUGGUCGGAGAAUGUGCCCUAAAGGAAAGCAGGGAUCACAGAUAAAGAUGGAGCAAGAAAGGAAUCUAGAUGGUAUCACUUGGACUCCUGAAUCCAGCUAUACCUGAAGCCAUUCACACCCUUUUAUUGCUUUAUUGCUCAAUUUAAGCAAUAUUCCUCAGUUAUAAG
Molecule: long non-coding RNA, 2185 nt
Filed under: Canis lupus familiaris (dog)
Lineage: Eukaryota; Metazoa; Chordata; Mammalia; Carnivora; Canidae
Description: lncRNA (ENSCAFG00040024549.1)
Source: RNAcentral